GACGGAGGGUGCUAGCGUUGUUCGGAAUCACUGGGCGUAAAGGGCGCGUAGGCGGCCUUGCAAGUCGGUUGGUGAAAGCCCGGGGCUCAACCCCGGAGGUGCGGCCGAGACUGCAGGGCUGGAGGCCGGAAGAGGAGGGUGGAAUACCCAGUGUAGAGGUGAAAUUCGUAGAUAUUGGGUGGAACACCGGUGGCGAAAGCGGCUCUCUGGUCCGGACCUGACGCUGAGGCGCGAAAGCGUGGGGAGCAAACAGGAUUAGAUACCCUGGUAGUCCACGCCCUAAACGAUGCGGGCUAGACGUUGGGGGGCUUGCCCCUCGGUGUCGCAGCUAACGCGUUAAGCCCGCCGCCUGGGGAGUACGGCCGCAAGGUUAAA
This 375-nucleotide ribosomal RNA is filed under the name uncultured bacterium. RNAcentral's name for it is "bacterial SSU rRNA". It matches the Rfam family "Bacterial small subunit ribosomal RNA", at positions 524 to 898 of the family's 1533-position model. The record is from RNAcentral.